RNAcentral lists this long non-coding RNA (1002 nucleotides) under Mus musculus (house mouse). Its description in RNAcentral is "long non-coding RNA chr18:57394007-57395009". The record is from RNAcentral. Lineage: Eukaryota; Metazoa; Chordata; Mammalia; Rodentia; Muridae.
GUUGUUUUUGUUUUGCCAAGAGUCCACAAUAUUUUUCAUAGGCAUAUUAAAUAGCCGAUUGACAACAGGCAGACAGCAUCAAGGAGGUCAAAGCUGUAGAUGAAGGGAGUGGUAAGGUGUCACGUGAGCUCAUUUUAGGAGUUUGGUGUUCCUGGGAAACCCGAAACACUGAAACUCUUAGAAAACAUGGCAGUGCCUCCCCCUCCCCCUGCAGGGCUCGGCUGUAGGACUUUCUGAUUAGGACGCCAUUUGCCCGAGAAUUGAGGCUGACAGUGGACACUGGGACCUCAUAAAAGUAAAAAGCUGUACAGCUAAAGAACCAAUCAGUGAAUGAAGAGGAAGCCACAGAAGGGGAGAAUCUUAGCUGGGUGUUCAUCUGCCAGGUAAGGGAGACAGACCUCCCGGGUCAAGCAGUGUUUCCAGGUCAGCAUUAGAAGGGAACUUGGACACUGUCAUGCUACUGUGACCUCUAAUUUUCUUAUCCCAUUUUCAUCUAAAGUGACUGAAAUGUACAUUAAGCCUUUUUCUCACAAUGUAACUUACCAAGUAAACUCAUUUUCCACAGUGUUCUGGAUAUUUCCUUAAGAGUUCUGGACACCUAAUAACUCACAAAUACAUGUGGGAUGGAACAAUUCAAACAACAAUGGGGCUUCGCUUCCCUGAGUUUCUAAUUUUAUUACUUGUGUUUAGGGCAACGCAUUGUUCACCCAUAGAUCACAUUUUUGUUUGAAAGAGCUGUUGGAAGAUUCACUGCUUGUGGGAAACUGCUUACAACAUUUGGAUAAUUUGCUCUGCAGUCUGAGAAACCAUAAAAUAAGUUUAUAUUGAAGCAUCACAUUUGAGUUCAAAACUGGAUGGUCUCCAGUGACAUCAAGAAGUAUUUUGAAGUAAAUUUUUAUAUAACUUUAAUUCUUACUGAUAAUAGAGUUUUUUCAUACAGUGUAUUCUGAUCACAGUUUCCCCCUCCCUAACUCCUAGAUCCUCCCACCUCCCCACUCACCC